CCUACGGGGUGCAGCAGUGAGGAAUAUUGGUCAAUGGCCGCAGGGCUGAACCAGCCAAGUCGCGUGAGGGAUGACGGUCCUCUGGAUUGUAAACCUCUUUUGUCAGGGAGCAAAGGGCGCCACGUGUGGCGUUUUUCGAGUACCUGAAGAAAAAGCAUCGGCUAACUCCGUGCCCGCAGCUGCGGUAAUAUGGAGGAUGCGAGCGUUAUCCGGUUUUAUGGGGUUUAAAGGGUGCGCAGGCGGAAUGUCAAGUCAGCGGGAAAAUUUCGGGGCUCAACCCCGUCGUGCCGUUGAAACUGGCGGUCGUGAGUGAGCGAGAGGUAUGCGGAAUGCGUGGUGUAGCGGUGAA
This 349-nucleotide ribosomal RNA is filed under the name uncultured bacterium. Its description in RNAcentral is "partial 16S ribosomal RNA". It matches the Rfam family "Bacterial small subunit ribosomal RNA", at positions 338 to 685 of the family's 1533-position model. The record is from RNAcentral.